UCUAUUUCAGCUACAGUGGAAUUUGGCAAUCGACCUAGAAAAUGAAGAGGAUGUGCACACUAAAGAAUCCAGAGUAGACUGGCCAUGCUGGGACCUGGAGGAGCUGAACAGGGAGCCAGCCUUUCUGCUCUCUGCUUCCUGGCCACCAUGACAUGGCAGCUUUCCUCCAUCACUGCCUUCCGCCAUGAUGCUUUUGCCUCCCCACGUGCCUGAAAGCAGUGGACUGUGGACUGAAGCCUCUGAAACUGUCGCUAUUCAUUUAGUAAACUUCUGUUCUGAACUGACUCCUGGUGAUGCUGCACGUCUCGGGGUGCAGCAUGGCAUUUCAAUGAGCAUGCACGAGGCGUCGUGCUCGGAUCUGAGUGAGCGGUGACCUCAUGGCCUCGGACAGACGUCGCGUGACCGAAACCCUGUCGCCCAGCUCUUCUCAAAUGCAGAACCAGUCUCGGGCAGCCUCUGUCCUCUUCAACUUGGCCACGUGCAUGUUCAAACCACUGCUCCCAUCGUGAAAAUCAUCCCAACCAGGACGUCGGGAAAAGGACAGGGAAGGGCAGUUCUUCGUCCUUACAGGAGCUCGGUGCCAAGGCCCUGCUUCGGCCACCAGGGUCCCCUGGCCAGCCCCCCCCCCCCCCAGCUUGCCUCUUCUCCAGGACCCGCUUUCCGAGCUUGGGGAGGCAUUCAUUCUCCAGAAUUGCCGAGGGGGACGUGAUGAAGCCUCGCUUGCUGCUGAGUGGACCUGGGUGGGAGAUGACCACGGUGGCUGCCAGCCCCUGACAUAAACCUGCCUGCGGCAGCGCUGGACCUUUGCUUCUCGGCAGUUUGUGGCGCGGCCCGGUGCGCUACCCAGAGUUCCCACUAGAUGUCGCUGUUGCCACGUUGGAAACCUUGUACACGGACGCGUGAACCCCCGCCCCACCGCGGUUUGAUUUCAGUGGAUUUGGAACAUAAAUGUGUCCGUUUUUAAGCCACAGGGCAGAGUUUUCUCUAUAAAUUCUUGGGAUCUUUAUUUCUAUCACUUUUGUUGUUUUCUUUGCCUUGAUUGGGCAUACGCAACUCUCCGUGCAUGGUAGGUGUGUAGCUCCGGUGCAGGAUUUGAAUGGGCUUGAAAAGGGCGGAAUUCCUGAGGAUUUGAGUUCUGUUUUAACUUAUUUGUUUUAUUUUAUUUAAAUUUAUUUAUUUACUUAUUUUCUUAAAAAUUAAGUAAAUGCCUUGAUUCCACCAGGAUUUUCAACAGGUCUUAUGCCUACUUCGCAGUGAUUUUGCCUAGGAAAAUCACUAAUCUCUAGCAAAAAAUUAGCGUUCUUUUUAAUUGUAGAUGUAGGCAACGAACCAUAGUGGUCAUGGUACUUGGGACUACGGCACCAAGAGAAAUUGCAGAUUUUCAUAUCACUUGAUUGCAGGCGACUUCAGAAUAUCAUUUAUAUAUUUAUCUCCACUUGAAAUUAAGGAUACAUUUAGAGUUAGAGCGUGUUUGUCAGUCGUUCAAAGGGGAUCUUAUGAACUGGUACUGAUUUGCUUUGAAAGCACUUUGGUAGCUGCAUCCUGUGGGAAUCAUUCCCAGUAUCAUCACACGUAAAUUAUUUUAUGCAUUUGAAAGAGUCCUCUCCUGAGGAGGGGCACGGGGUUCACCAGCUGACAGUGGCAGGUGAAUAACGGCUCCCAGAGACGCUGCAUCUUAAUCCCCACAGCUCGGAGCCGCCGAGGCUGCAGGCCAGUGAAGCCAACCCACCCAGACGCGAGCUUGGCCUGCGUGACCGGUGAGGCCGCUGCGAUUGCGAGCUUCUUUGCAAGUGGAAGAAGCAGGAGGGGGAGCUGCAGAUCAACAUGGAAGUGUGCUUUGGAUUGGGAAUGUCCCCCGAAGGCCAUGUGGUCCAGGUUUAGUUCCAGCUGAUGGAAUUUUGGGAAGCAAUUGAUUAUGAAGGUUCCAACUUCAUCAAGAGAUCAAUCCAUUAAAGAAUUCAUAGUUUGUGGGGCGCAUUAGGAGGUGGGGUCUAACCGGAUGAUACUGGUCAUGGUGGUGUGACUGGGGGACUGCAUCUGGCCUCUGACCUGUUCUUUCUGGCUCAUUCCCUCUCCUGCUUCUUGGCUGCUGUAAGGUGAACAACUUUCCUCCCUUACCCUCCUGCCAUGGUGUUUAUGCCUUAUCACUGGCCUAAACGCAGCGCACGGAAUCAUCGUGGACUGAGCCAACAUUCAUCAGGAAACCUUGCACCUUUUAGGGUUAUUUACAUCAGGUGUUUUGUCACAGCAGUGGCAAACUGACUAACCCAGUGUCAGAGAUGUGUGAUUUCUGGCUUGAGGAUGAAGAUCGUAAACCAAGGUAGUUUCUUGUGGAGCCUCCAGGAGGAAUCGCCCUCUGGGCACCUCAAUUUUCAUCCCACACAGCUCUCUUUCUGCCCUCCAGAAGUGAAGAUAACUGUAUUGUUUAAGCCACUAAAUUUGUGUAAUUUGUUAUAGCAGCAGUAGGAAGCCAGAUACACUGACUGAAGUGUCUACAGUGGCCCCAUUUGGGGACGUACUUAGGGGCUUACAAGGGUGCACUGUCUGCAGUGGAGGUGAAGUUGCUGGUGGAUUACAGAGUUGUCUAUGUGGCCUAGGACGUUACCCCAAUGUAUGGGCAAAGAGCUCUCAAUUCAUGCAGUUGCUGUGGGGCAGGGAUUUGAGAAUGCCUUUACUGGGUGGCUCUAGUUCUGAGUCUCUGAUGAGGCUGUAGUCAUGUCAGCGGGGGCUUGUCACCCGGAGUCUUCACUCACUGGAGACUGCUUCCAGGAGGGUGCGCUCACAGACAGGGCUGCAGGCAGGAGGCGGGGUCUUCACCACGCAGACCUUAGAGAGGCUCACCUGUCCUUACAGAUGGAAGCUGGCUUCCCUGUGAGGAGAGGGGGGAGAGAGGGAGGAAAAGAUGGAGGGAGAGAGAGAAGGAGAGAGAGAGAGAGAGAGAGAGAGAGAGAGAGAAAGAAAGAGA
Molecule: long non-coding RNA, 2965 nt
Organism: Cavia porcellus (domestic guinea pig)
Lineage: Eukaryota; Metazoa; Chordata; Mammalia; Rodentia; Caviidae
Exons: 3
Source: RefSeq, a predicted model, not a curated record